Neltuma alba is the source of this 2626-nucleotide RNA transcript. It is a transcript of the gene named ARM REPEAT PROTEIN INTERACTING WITH ABF2-like, with no coding region annotated. Lineage: Eukaryota; Viridiplantae; Streptophyta; Magnoliopsida; Fabales; Fabaceae. The record is from RefSeq and is a predicted model, not a curated record. The transcript is spliced from 20 exons.
AAUCCGUUUCCAGGACGCACUGUCUCUGCGAGAGACCGCUCUCUUUUCCAUGGAGCUUCAUAAGCGCCAAGAUCAGAGCCUCCCUGAGAGGAAAGGCCAGAAGCGGAAGCUGGAGGAAGAUUUCGAAGACGAGCAAGAGAUCUCGGCGCCUCCUACCGGCGACGCCCGAGACGCCCUUCUCGCUGAGGUUACAGCGCAGGUUGAAAUACUCGACUUCAAUUUUUCAUGGCGUGAAGCCGAUCGAGCCGCGGCUAAGCGUGCCACUCACGUUCUUGCCGAACUUGCUAAGAAUGAGGAAGUAGUGAACGUGAUUGUUGAAGGAGGAGCUAUUCCGUCUCUAGUCAAUCAUCUUCAAGCGCCGCCUUCGAGUGAAGGCGAUCGUGGUCAAAAGCCAUUCGAGCACGAGGUCGAGAAAGGGAGUGCUUUCGCUUUAGGACUUCUUGCCGUUAAGCCAGAACAUCAACAACUAAUUGUUGACAAUGGUGCCUUAAAACAUCUUGUUGAUCUGUUAAAGAGACAUAAGACUUGCUCUGCUUCUCGUGCUGUGAAUAGUGUCAUUCGAAGGGCUGCAGAUGCAAUCACGAAUCUUGCUCAUGAGAACAGCAGCAUUAAAACCCGUGUCAGGAUGGAAGGUGGAAUUCCACCACUUGUUGAAUUGCUUGAAUUUAAUGAUACAAAGGUGCAAAGAGCAGCCGCUGGUGCACUGCGAACUCUGGCAUUUAAAAAUGAUGAAAAUAAAAAUCAGAUUGUUGAAUGCAAUGCUCUUCCAACUCUAAUUUUAAUGCUCCGUUCUGAAGAUGCUGCUAUUCAUUAUGAAGCGGUUGGUGUAAUAGGAAAUCUGGUACACUCUUCGCCUAAUAUAAAGAAAGAAGUUCUUCUUGCUGGGGCUUUGCAACCCGUUAUUGGACUACUUAGCUCCUGCUGCUCUGAGAGCCAAAGGGAAGCUGCCUUGUUACUUGGACAGUUUGCAGCAACUGAUUCAGAUUGUAAGGUUCACAUUGUUCAGAGAGGUGCUGUCCGACCUCUGAUAGAGAUGCUUCAGUCCCCUGAUGUACAACUCAGAGAAAUGUCCGCCUUUGCUUUGGGGAGACUCGCACAGGACACCCAUAACCAAGCUGGUAUAGCACACAAUGGUGGCUUAGCACCAUUACUCAAGCUCCUUGACUCAAAAAAUGGGUCUUUGCAGCAUAAUGCUGCAUUUGCUCUUUAUGGCCUUGCAGAUAAUGAGGAUAAUGUGUCUGAUUUCAUUAGGGUAGGUGGUGUUCAGAGACUGCAGGAUGGAGAGUUUAUUGUUCAAGCAACAAAAGACUGUGUGGCAAAGACAUUGAAAAGAUUAGAGGAGAAGAUUCAUGGCCGUGUCCUGAACCAUUUGUUAUAUCUUAUGCGAGUUUCAGAGAAGGCUGUCCAAAGACGAGUUGCUUUGGCUCUUGCUCAUCUUUGUUCUGCAGAUGAUCAGAGAACCAUAUUCAUUGAUAACAAUGGUUUGGAAUUUCUUAUUGGGCUUCUUGGCUCUACUAGUCCUAAGCAGCAACUUGAUGGCGCAGUUGCUUUAUGCAAGCUGGCCAACAAAGCCACGACUCUAUCACCAAUAGAUGCUCCUCCUCCUUCCCCAACGCCCCAGGUUUAUUUGGGAGAGCAGUAUGUGAACAAUGCUACAUUGUCAGACGUAACAUUUUUGGUUGAAGGGAAACGAUUUUUUGCUCACAGAAUAUGCCUACUUGCGUCUUCAGAUGCAUUUCGUGCUAUGUUUGAUGGUGGUUACAGGGAGAAGGAUGCAAGAGACAUAGAGAUUCCAAAUAUCAGAUGGGAAGUUUUUGAGUUGAUGAUGAGAUUCAUAUAUACUGGAUCAGUUGAUGUUACUCUUGAUAUUGCCCAAGAUCUCCUCAGAGCAGCUGAUCAAUAUCUCUUAGAAGGACUUAAGAGACGAUGUGAGUACACAAUAGCACAGGAUAUAUCACUGGAGAAUGUUUCUAGUAUGUAUGAACUCUCAGAAGCUUUCAAUGCAAUUUCAUUGAGGCACACAUGCAUCCUGUUUAUCAUGGAGCACUUUGAUAAAUUGAGUGCCAGACCAGGGCAUUCUUGUCUGGUUCAGCGUAUAAUACCAGAGAUCCGCAACUACUUUGCCAAAGCUCUCACAAAAGCUAACUCCCGUGACAUCCGGCUGUAGCAGGUGGCCAACGAUUCUAUUCUUGACAUCUAACCUAUUGUGAUGUACAGAACAUGCAGAUGUUCUUCCUGCUGAAUCCGGGAAGGGGUCUCCUUUAUUGAGCGGAGCAGGGCUGAGAGAAAUAUCUGACGAGUUAUGCGUGUUGCUCUCAUGCAGCCUGCUAAUACGUCGUUUAGAGGCAAACCACCCGAGUAAUGUAGUCAAGAAACAGCAUUACGUAAAGCCGGAGUGAGGGUUACUCAAUAACGAUAUGAAUACUAAUACGCAAUUGAAAGAUAGGCGAAUGCUUAUAGGUGUGACUUAGGUCAUGUUUGGCAUUACGUUUAAAAUUAUUUACAAACACGUUCACAUAAAUUGAGAUAAGAUUUUUUAUAUAUAUUUAUCUUGUAUUUUGUAAAUCAUGACUGAAAAGUUAUUUAUUAUAAGUCAUUUUAAAUGGGCCCUUAAUAGGAGUAAAAA